AUUGAACGCUGGCGGCAUGCUUUACACAUGCAAGUCGAACGGCAGCACAGGGAGCUUGCUCCUGGGUGGCGAGUGGCGAACGGGUGAGUAAUGUAUCGGAACGUGCCUGGUAGUGGGGGAUAACUACUCGAAAGAGUGGCUAAUACCGCAUGAGAUCUUUGGAUGACAGCGGGGGACCUUCGGGCCUCGUGCUACUGGAGCGGCCGAUAUCAGAUUAGCUUGUUGGUGGGGUAAAGGCCUACCAAGCCUGCGAUCUGUAGCUGGUCUGAGAGGACGACCAGCCACACUGGGACUGAGACACGGCCCAGACUCCUACGGGAGGCAGCAGUGGGGAAUUUUGGACAAUGGGCGCAAGCCUGAUCCAGCAAUGCCGCGUGCAGGACGAAGGCCUUCGGGUUGUAAACUGCUUUUGUACAGAACGAAAAGUCUCUGGCUAAUAUCUAGAGAUCAUGACGGUACUGUAAGAAUAAGCACCGGCUAACUACGUG
RNAcentral lists this ribosomal RNA (488 nucleotides) under uncultured bacterium. RNAcentral's name for it is "partial 16S ribosomal RNA". It matches the Rfam family "Bacterial small subunit ribosomal RNA", at positions 30 to 507 of the family's 1533-position model. The record is from RNAcentral.